AAGUCGUAACAAGGUUUCCGUAGGUGAACCUGCGGAAGGAUCAUUAAUAAUAUAGCAAACCAAGCGUUAGCGAGGUUCUGCGAUCAAAAUUUGUAUUUAAAACCCAACACCUUUGAAUCAAUAUUUUUAUGUAUCUUAAAUAAUAAAAGAUCACUUUCAACAACGGAUCUCUUGGUUCUC
This 180-nucleotide unclassified non-coding RNA is filed under the name fungal sp. RNAcentral describes it as "partial internal transcribed spacer region". The stretch from base 1 to 46 matches the Rfam family "Eukaryotic small subunit ribosomal RNA", at positions 1786 to 1831 of the family's 1831-position model. Lineage: Eukaryota; Fungi. The record is from RNAcentral.